RNAcentral lists this non-coding RNA (131 nucleotides) under Bacillus sp. (in: firmicutes). RNAcentral describes it as "Bacillus sp. SAM-I sequence". It matches the Rfam family "SAM riboswitch aptamer (S box leader)". From Rfam's summary of the family: The SAM riboswitch is found upstream of a number of genes which code for proteins involved in methionine or cysteine biosynthesis in Gram-positive bacteria. Lineage: Bacteria; Bacillati; Bacillota; Bacilli; Caryophanales; Bacillaceae. The record is from RNAcentral.
AUCUUAUCAAGAGCAGGUGGAGGGACUAGCCCGAUGAAACCCGGCAACCGGCGUGAAGACGCACGGUGCUAAUUCUUGCAGGAGACUUUGAAGCGGGCAGAUGCCCGGUGAAGAUUUCUGGCAGAUGAGAG